RNAcentral lists this ribosomal RNA (384 nucleotides) under uncultured bacterium. RNAcentral's name for it is "bacterial SSU rRNA". It matches the Rfam family "Bacterial small subunit ribosomal RNA", at positions 30 to 417 of the family's 1533-position model. The record is from RNAcentral.
AUUGAACGCUGGCGGCAUGCCUUACACAUGCAAGUCGAACGGCAGCACGGGGCAACCUGGUGGCGAGUGGCGAACGGGUGAGUAAUGCAUCGGAACGUGCCAUUGAGUGGGGGAUAACGUAGCGAAAGUUGCGCUAAUACCGCAUAUUCUGUGAGCAGGAAAGCAGGGGACCGCAAAGGCCUUGCGCUCUUUGAGCGGCCGAUGUCAGAUUAGCUAGUUGGUGAGGUAACGGCUUACCAAGGCGACGAUCUGUAGCGGGUCUGAGAGGAUGAUCCGCCACACUGGAACUGAGACACGGUCCAGACUCCUACGGAGGCAGCAGUGGGAAUUUUGGACAAUGGGCGCAAGCCUGAUCCAGCCAUGCCGCGUGAGUGAAGAAGGCCU